AUUGAACGCUGGCGGCAGGCCUAACACAUGCGAGUCGAGCGGAUGAAGGGAGCUUGCUCCUGGAUUCAGCGGCGGACGGGUGAGUAAUGCCUAGGAAUCUGCCUGGUAGUGGGGGAUAACGUCCGGAAACGGGCGCUAAUACCGCAUACGUCCUGAGGGAGAAAGUGGGGGAUCUUCGGACCUCACGCUAUCAGAUGAGCCUAGGUCGGAUUAGCUAGUUGGUGGGGUAAAGGCCUACCAAGGCGACGAUCCGUAACUGGUCUGAGAGGAUGAUCAGUCACACUGGAACUGAGACACGGUCCAGACUCCUACGGGAGGCAGCAGUGGGGAAUAUUGGACAAUGGGCGAAAGCCUGAUCCAGCCAUGCCGCGUGUGUGAAGAAGGUCUUCGGAUUGUAAAGCACUUUAAGUUGAGAGGAAGGGCAGUAAGUUAAUACCUUGCUGUUCUGACGUUACCAACAGAAUAAGCACCGGCUAACUUCGUG
This 484-nucleotide ribosomal RNA is filed under the name uncultured bacterium. RNAcentral's name for it is "partial 16S ribosomal RNA". It matches the Rfam family "Bacterial small subunit ribosomal RNA", at positions 30 to 507 of the family's 1533-position model. The record is from RNAcentral.